This is a non-coding RNA of Schistocephalus solidus, 64 nucleotides long. NCBI's taxonomy places the organism in Eukaryota, Metazoa, Platyhelminthes, Cestoda, Diphyllobothriidea, Diphyllobothriidae. The record is from Rfam.
CAAAAGGCUUUAUUAAGCACACCAUUACUCCGAAAAGCCACAAAAUGUCAACCUAAGAAAUAUG